This 496-nucleotide ribosomal RNA is filed under the name uncultured bacterium. Its description in RNAcentral is "partial 16S ribosomal RNA". It matches the Rfam family "Bacterial small subunit ribosomal RNA", at positions 29 to 507 of the family's 1533-position model. The record is from RNAcentral.
AUGAACGCUGGCGGCGUGCCUAAUACAUGCAAGUCGAGCGAACAGAUGAGGAGCUUGCUCCUCUGACGUUAGCGGCGGACGGGUGAGUAACACGUGGAUAACCUACCUAUAAGACUGGGAUAACUUCGGGAAACCGGAGCUAAUACCGGAUAAUAUAUUGAACCGCAUGGUUUAAUAGUGAAAGACGGUUUUGCUGUCACUUAUAGAUGGAUCCGCGCCGCAUUAGCUAGUUGGUAAGGUAACGGCUUACCAAGGCAACGAUGCGUAGCCGACCUGAGAGGGUGAUCGGCCACACUGGAACUGAGACACGGUCCAGACUCCUACGGGAGGCAGCAGUAGGGAAUCUUCCGCAAUGGGCGAAAGCCUGACGGAGCAACGCCGCGUGAGUGAUGAAGGUCUUCGGAUCGUAAAACUCUGUUAUUAGGGAAGAACAAAUGUGUAAGUAACUAUGCACGUCUUGACGGUACCUAAUCAGAAAGCCACGGCUAACUACGUG